Molecule: transfer RNA, 69 nt
Filed under: Nacolus tuberculatus
Lineage: Eukaryota; Metazoa; Arthropoda; Insecta; Hemiptera; Cicadellidae
Description: tRNA-Lys
Source: RNAcentral
CAUUAAGAAACUUAAAUGCAAGUCAUGGUCUCUUAAACCAAAAAAUGGUAAAGCGAAUACCCUUAAUGG